This 58-nucleotide small nucleolar RNA is filed under the name Acanthochromis polyacanthus (spiny chromis). RNAcentral describes it as "Small nucleolar RNA SNORD66 (ENSAPOG00000013497.1)". It matches the Rfam family "Small nucleolar RNA SNORD66". From Rfam's summary of the family: snoRNA HBII-142 is part of the C/D family of snoRNAs. It is the human orthologue of the mouse MBII-142 snoRNA and is predicted to guide 2'O-ribose methylation of small 18S rRNA at residue C1272. Lineage: Eukaryota; Metazoa; Chordata; Actinopteri; Pomacentridae. The record is from Rfam by way of RNAcentral.
CUCCAGUACGACCUUAAAUUAGUUCCACGUGUCUGGGCCACUGAUGUAACUGAUGGAG